Molecule: long non-coding RNA, 4988 nt
Organism: Falco peregrinus (peregrine falcon)
Lineage: Eukaryota; Metazoa; Chordata; Aves; Falconiformes; Falconidae
Exons: 4
Source: RefSeq, a predicted model, not a curated record
ACGCUCCCACCGCACCGCACCGCCCGGCCAUCCCGCUGCCAGCGCAGGGCGCAGGCUGCAGCUGCCCCUUGCUCCUCCACCUCAAGCACACCGGGAGCAGGGGCAAAGUGUUACCCCUGAGUCCAAGAUGACAAUGGCAGGACCGGGAGCGGUGCUGAGAUACAGCGUGUGGAGUGAUCUGUCCCCUGGGCAUCAGCCUCAGAGACCCGGAGAAGAGGGCUGGCUGCAGAAAGUGCCAGGGAAUCAUCCACAGGGAUCCUCAGGUGGGAGGAGGACACUUCAGGAAGGUACACUGGAAAAUGCAGAGAUGAAGCUGGGAUAUUCCCAUUUGAUCUUCCCUUCCCGUUUUCCCUGGAGGUGGCACAGCCUGGAAGGAGGCAAGUGUGGCAACAUGGGGGGUCUCAGCCAGAGCAGGACAUAGGAAAGGUGAGUCCUCAUUCAUAGGUGGCCACCCAUCAAUUCAUCUAUGUAGGCAUCCUCAAGACAGGGGUGCCCCAAACGCUCUUUGACUUGACUUGUGAUACCCAACAAGAGCCGUAAUGCCUGUGCCCCAGCUGUGCCGGGCCACUGCCUGCCCCAUGCCUUGUGCAGCCACUCGUCUCGUGGCAGGCCUGGAAUGAACUGCUUCUGCUGACGGCCUCCUGGGCAGAAUGGGAUAACGUGUGGGAUUCCCUUCCAAGUUUGCUCUCACAACCCUCCCGCAGCAUGAGGCAAGGAGGCUCCUGGUGCUGGCGGGGGGAGGUGUGAGCGCUGGCCAUGACUAUGGCUCUGCAGCUGGCUGGCGGGGUGGCCUUGGACCGGCCACUUGCCCCGCUCUGGGCCCUCUGCUCUUGCCCAUUUGUUGUCUGCCCUGUUGGUUGCUGUUCUGGGGCAGGUGAGCCCUCCUCUUUGGCCAUCCACAGUGUUUGGUUGCUACCGAAACAAGGAACAGCACAUCCGUGGCAGGAGGUUCCCUCCCUCUGCCUCCAGCCACAGCGGGACACAUUGCUGGCAUGCCACGGCCGUGAUUCAGACCCUACCGAUGACCCACAUUUGCUUCUGCACCCAAGUUGUGUGUCCCGCAUCAGACCAGCUGCUUUGACAGGAGGUUUUGGCUACUGCCUCUGUGAAUUAGGUCUCGGACCCUGCUGGUCUGAUGCUGAAAUCGGGUGGCUCUCCCUGGGAGGGUGCCUAAGCUGCUGUGGCCCACCCGUCUGCCUGCUGUUGUCACCCAUGCGCAGUUUCAUUACCAGUGCAUUCUUCUUCUGAAACUGAUACAACAGUUGUAAUUAGUUAAGGUUUUCUCUUUCUAUCUCGAGGAGCCUCCUGUCUUCAAAGACCAACUUUUAAACAUUAACUCUUCUAAAUGUUUCCCCCCACGUGAGGCCCUCCCCACCCUGCCUUGUAAAUUAUGUUCAGUCCUUUACUUCGAGCAGGCAGGUACUUAGUGUGAUAAAUUCAGGUUAGUGUCUCCUUAAGUGCGUUAUGUAUGUGUGUGUGUAUCUGUGUGUGUGUGUGUGUGUGUGUAAAGACGGAGUGAAAUAAAGUUGUAUCAAGCCAUAAAUUACUGCUCUAGCACCAUAAAUUGCCAAAGGAAAGCUCAAUUUUUGGACUUUCCUUUCAACUAAAUGAGAUAAUUAAUGUAAGAGGGAAAAAAGUGGGGGAGACCUUCCCCCUCCCUGGAGCCCUUUGCCUUGAUGUUUGGCUAUGAAACUUCAAGGCUGCGGUGGGGUGGAGAUCUCAGUGCUGGAGCGGGGGAAGCAGCAAAGGAGCCAGAGAUCCAGGAGGGUGGGGGUCAUGGCGAUGGGUGAGUGUUUUCAUUUUGCCAGGGCUGUGGGAGGGACUCUAAUGCGGGCUGUGACCCUAUUUAAUAAAAUGCCUAGGAAAGCAAGGGGCCGGGGCAGGGGCGGGGGGGCAGAGGGAGACACGGUGGCUGGGGCUGGCAGGAGACUGUCAUGAGAUGAAAGUGGCCCUUCGUCCAUUCCUUUCCUCCCUCUCUGCUGUCAGCACUUUUUAAUGUCAAACAGUGUGAGUGGUCAGUGGGGCUAGUUUCUGUCUCCACAUACAAUUUUUUUUUUCCCACUUUCCCCAGAACUUCAGCCAGAUGAAUUCACUGCUUGGGAGCGACUAGCAGCGCGGUGCGGGUGGCCCUGCAGGCAUCCUUUUCACCAGGACCUUCAGCUGAACUUUUUUUCAAGUCUUUCUCUGAGGCAAAAUCUUGUUAGGGAAUGUCUCCUUCCUGCCGUGCCACCCUCAAGUCCUAGACCACCCUGGGUCUAAAGCUGGUCUUACACAAGCCACCACCGAGACCAGCGUGGGCAUCACACCAUGAAUAUUGUCCACAUGAUAAUCUGGUCCCUGUGCACUGCACUGAAAUUCAGGGAACUUACAGGUGUCCCUGUGGGCCCUGCCACCGGUCUGCUGGGAGACACUGGGUCAGCCAUCACACAGUGCCUUGGUUUCCCUCCGUUUAAAAUGGGGGCAAUCACGAUUACUUCAUUUGCGAUAAACUUUGAGAUGUACAAAAAAUGCAAGGUAAGAAACUGUUGCUUCUAUCAGCUGUGGUAAUCUGCAGGUGAGAUGGUACCAUACAGCCCAAAACUGCCUCGCAGUGAGGUGGCUGCCUGUGCUGGGACUAUGGUCACAGGGGUAGGUGACCCUGGAGCAGCAAGUGCUGCCAAGUGUUGACUGUAUGUGCGGUGUCAAGUUCUGCACACCUCCGCUGUGCCUGCGGGCCUCGCUGGGCCAGGGCAUGCUGCGCCAGCAUGUGGGUUGAACAUGCACUGGUGGGUAGCACCAGGCCCUGCAGCGGGGCGUCUUGUGUGCAGCACCCGGUACCCCUCGUCCGCCGUGUAAGCGACCUUAGGGGGGUGCUGGCUGCGUGUGGCUGUGGCUGAAUGUGGCAGCCUCUCUCAGCUGAAGAAGGGCUGCAGUUCUGAUAUCACCAUCCCGUGCAGAAGCACCGUCAGACAUCUAGAUUUUCUAUGGUCUGGGUGAGCACAGCCAUGUACCCCCCUAGUGCCAGAGCCAGCACCACUGUGGCAUGUCACAUGUGUACUCUGGUGUGUGUGGGCAGUCCAAGGAUUGCUUCAGAAGGUAAGGAGAUCCAUGUUUAGGCUUCAGUCCUCUUUUUUGAUACAGACUCCUUACAUGGCCUCAGGACCUAGCUCAGCCCAGGUCUCUCUCCUUUUUCUAAUCUUGGUCCAGAGGGCACAGCACCAGGCUGUCACAGCAGUGUUAGGAAAGUAAAUAUUUCCUACACUGGGAGACAGGUGGGCAUCUACAUGGUGCCAGACAUGGUGACACUGGCUCCAUGUGUUUGCAGUGUUUGGGAUGGGCUGGCUGAGCGUGGAAACUGGCAGGAGGUAUGCUGACACUGCCAUUUUCCACAUAGCCUGUGUUGCAUCACCUGGUAGACCUGUGUGCUGAGCCACGGUGAGUGACUCUGGUGUGGGUUCAUUUUUAAUCACCCCGUGGUUAUUUUAGAAGGCCCAGAGGGGCUCAGCCCUCAUGGGUGAAGACAAUUCACCUGUGCAGUGGAGCCCGGCCACAAGACUCCCUGGGAAAAGUGAUUUCUUGCAGCUUUGUUGAUGGGAGCUACCUGAUGAAACUGUGGCAAGCUGAUUGCUUACAGUCAUGAGCCUGAACUGUGCUGUGUUCUGCAGAUGAAGAUGAGGACACAUUUUGGCACUGAUGAAACUGAAAUUGUCACCUUUUUGUAAGUUUAAGCUCAGGUAACCCAGCCUAGGCAAUGGCACAGUUUGUCCCCUCCCUCUCCACAAUGUUUAACCUACCUGUCAAUGUCAACCAUGCUUGACACAUGGACAGAGCCCACCAAAGUAUUCUGUGCCUGCAAAAUGUGCCAGAAUUAAUGAUGGGUUAAAGAAGAGAGGCUCACAUUGGUGCCAAUGACAGACUACUCAGCUAGUCUUCUCUGCUGGCCAACCAACACCUCCGUGCCCAGUGGCCCAACAGCACGUGGCUUGGAGCCAGUGACAGCAGGCAAGCUGAGGGUCCUUCUGGGGCUGUGGAAGGCACCAGAGGACAGGUCAUCCACUGCGGUUAUUGCAGUGGUGACAGAGGGAGGGCAAAGGAAUCAGGACCCAAUGCCAUCAGAAACCAGGUUUCACUGGUCCUGCUCAUCCCAAGACUUGCUUUGUCUUCCCCCUUUUUUUUAGGUCUGUGGAAAAUCCUGCAUCUCCUCUCUGGCCUGGCCAUGCAGUCUGCUUGGAUGAGGCAACGUAAAGCUGCGAAUCGUUUUCUACCUGGAAAGUUUUAAAGAAAGAAACAUGAGACAAAGACAAAGAGGAACAAAUCAAACUCAAGAGAAGGUGCAUGCUGAUGGCAAGAAAAGGGGCUAAGAGCUUCAACCAGCCUGUAAUAGGUCCAGGUACUCCAGCAUAGGAUGUGGGUCUCUGCAUUUUCCCUUGCUAGCAGAGGCUGAAGGAAUGCUUCUGCUGCAGAUGGCCACCACUGCUGGGAUGCAUGCAAACGCCAACAGCAGAACUGUGCAAAGGUGAGGAAGACGAGGUGCUGCCAUGGGAGGUCAGGGUUGUGAACAGAGGCUCCUGGUCCACAGUGCAGUCUCCAGGGUUGCCUGUUCCCAGACUGAGCUCAGGCAAAAUCCUUCUCUUGUGUCCUCCUUGAUGAAUGUGGUUCUUCUAGAUGUCACAAACGGAGAGCCAAAACACUGGAUCCAAGGGUGGCAGUGCCUCCACUCUCUCACCUGCCCGGACAAGACCACAGGUUUCUCUGGGAGCUGAGUCCAGCAGCAUAACUAAGCAUCUGUUCAAGCUGCCUGCAAGGAGCUCACCAAACCGUGGGUGCCUCUAUUUGCCAUGCCAGAGGAGAAGAGCACCAACUGUCCACCAGCCUUGAGCUGGGCUCAGGCAGCACCUCAAAAAUAACAUGAUUUAUCUUCUAUCAGUUGCCUCGGUCCUGUGGGCCCAAAUUCUCUGGUUUGUCUUUGUAUCUUAUAAACAUAAGAACUUCUAAGAAAAGUGUUGUCA